RNAcentral lists this ribosomal RNA (253 nucleotides) under uncultured bacterium. Its description in RNAcentral is "partial 16S ribosomal RNA". It matches the Rfam family "Bacterial small subunit ribosomal RNA", at positions 524 to 776 of the family's 1533-position model. The record is from RNAcentral.
UACGAGGGGUGCAAGCGUUGCUCGGAAUUAUUGGGCGUAAAGGGUAGGUAGGUGGUCUCAUUUGUCAGGGGUGAAAUCCUUGGGCUUAACCCAAGAAGUGCCCUUGAAACGGUGAGACUGGAGUCUUGGAGAGGGUCGUGGAAUUCCCGGUGUAGCGGUGAAAUGCGUAGAGAUCGGGAGGAACACCAGAGGCGAAGGCGGCGACCUGGACAAGUACUGACACUCAACUACGAAAGCGUGGGUAGCAAACAGG